AAGUCGUAACAAGGUUUCCGUAGGUGAACCUGCGGAAGGAUCAUUAACACGAACUAUUUAUCCAAUACCAAAACCAAACGUGAACUUUUCCCCUCCCUAUAUGUAGACACACAUCUAUAUAUAGGCUAACCGCAAGCUUUUUUUAAAGUUUGCCACAUAAUUUUAAACCUCUUUGAAACUCUGACUAGUUCGCGGCCGAAAGGCGGAACUUUACUAAAAGUAACUAAGAAUUCAAUAUUCUGUAUUGCUUUCUUUGAUUUUAUGAAAUUAUUAAGAACAACUCUUAACAAUGGAUAUCUUGGUUCUC
This 307-nucleotide unclassified non-coding RNA is filed under the name fungal sp. Its description in RNAcentral is "partial internal transcribed spacer region". The stretch from base 1 to 46 matches the Rfam family "Eukaryotic small subunit ribosomal RNA", at positions 1786 to 1831 of the family's 1831-position model. Lineage: Eukaryota; Fungi. The record is from RNAcentral.